This 497-nucleotide ribosomal RNA is filed under the name uncultured bacterium. RNAcentral describes it as "partial 16S ribosomal RNA". It matches the Rfam family "Bacterial small subunit ribosomal RNA", at positions 28 to 507 of the family's 1533-position model. The record is from RNAcentral.
GAUGAACGCUGGCGGCGUGCCUAAUACAUGCAAGUCGAGCGAACGGACGAGAAGCUUGCUUCUCUGAUGUUAGCGGCGGACGGGUGAGUAACACGUGGAUAACCUACCUAUAAGACUGGGAUAACUUCGGGAAACCGGAGCUAAUACCGGAUGAUAUUCUGAACCGCAUGGUUCAAAAGUGAAAGACGGUCUUGCUGUCACUUAUAGAUGGAUCCGCGCUGCAUUAGCUAGUUGGUAAGGUAACGGCUUACCAAGGCAACGAUGCAUAGCCGACCUGAGAGGGUGAUCGGCCACACUGGAACUGAGACACGGUCCAGACUCCUACGGGAGGCAGCAGUAGGGAAUCUUCCGCAAAGGGCGAAAGCCUGACGGAGCAACGCCGCGUGAGUGAUGAAGGUCUUCGGAUCGUAAAACUCUGUUAUUAGGGAAGAACAUAUGUGUAAGUAACUGUGCACAUCUUGACGGUACCUAAUCAGAAAGCCACGGCUAACUACGUG